GCCUCAGAGUCCCUGAAAAUUAUAAUGGCUGUAAUAUGCCCAAAUGAGAGGCGGCUAAACUCUAUAAACGCUAAAGCAGCCUUUCUCCAAGGCAAAGAAUUGACUUGAAAUGUGUACAUCAGGCUUCCCCAAGAAGCCCAAAUGCAGUGCUAUCUAUGGAAGUUAAAAAGUGUGUUUCUGGGCCAGCAAAUACUUACAUGUAUUGGUAUAACAGAGUAAAAGACAUCAUGUUGAUGUUGGGAGCCACUGUGUCGAAAGUUGGUCCAGCAGUGUUCAAUUGGCUGGAUGACUCCUGUAAUGUGAUAGGGGUUCUUGCUUGUCUUGUUGAUGACUUCAUUUGGGGUAGUACAAAGAAAUUCUCCAACACAGUCUCACUUGAAAGCUGUUUUCCAGGUUGGAUGUGAAGAAAGCAGCAGCUUCAGUAACAUUGGAAUAGAGAUUCACUCUCUGAAGGAUGAAACUCAUGUACAGCAAAAAUGUACAUUAAAACCUUUUCUGCCUGUUUCUGUGGAUCCCACAAGAACAAACGAUAGAGAGGCACCUAAACAGAACAGAGACCUAAAUUGAGAUGCUGAAGUCAAAGAUAGGCUAAAUAUUGUGGGUGAUAGCUCUUUAAAGACCCACUCCGGUGAAAAUCAGGUUUGUCUUGUCGUAUACAUGUUGAUGUUUGUCUCGACAUCUCUUACUUGUCUAGGGAGCCAUAGUGUUUGGCUCUUUUGAAAUGUUUCAGACCUUUUAUGUUUUUUAAAAGAGAAAAGGGAAGAAAGGGAGACUGGAAGUGGUAAUAGAGAGUUGAAAGUGGUAUUUCUAUUCUGAUUAUAAGACAAAAGGGGGCACUCUGUUCAAAAGUUGUUGUUACUGUGAGGUACUGUUGCUGAAUAUGAAUACUGGUAAUAUGGGAGAAAUGGAGAAUGACUUAUUUAAUAGGUAUUGUUUGUAUAUCGGGGUGAGAGCAACGCUCCGAAGGGAUAGUCACAAUGCUGGCAGAGCAUCCCCACUCUGCUGCUGCGUGUGUUCCGCGUUGAAACACUCUUUUACUAGUAAGGUCUCUGUGUCUCUGCUCAACGUUCUGCUCUUUGUUAUGCUGGUUUCUGUCGACCACCUUGGUUUGCUCUCCUGCUCUGUCCAUGCCCCUCGUGUCUCUUCUUUUGUUCUCCACUGUCUCCUUUUCUCUUGUGUUCCUUCGACUCCGACCCUCCCCUCAGCCACUGAUUGGAUGAGCGGAGUCUGUUAGUCUCCUAAUUGGUCCAGCAGACUGUCCAUCAAACCGGACAACUACACCGGUGCAGGUAAUCCAUAAUUAGUCUUUCAAGGCAGGGAUUAAACCAUGAUAAAAACUUGCAUAAAAAUUUAAGCAUAAAUAAAAUCAACACAUCACGAAUAAAACUCAAGAUAUAAAAGCAAACUUGUUGUGUGAGUAGUGUAUAUUAAUAAAAUACUCACUGAUAGUAUCACUAAUAGCAACUUCAAACUGAUCUACAUAAAUAGCCCCAAAUAAGAAACCAAAAAAAUUGAUGAAAAGAGCCUGAAAGGCUGAGAACCUAUCCCUUUGCCUUUACAAUGAAUUGUAUUUACAAUGUCAUUAUAAGAAUACCUUAUCUUAGUAGCUCUGCUCUGUAUGGCACCAGCAACAUACUGCAGUUCCCAAUAAGUGGCCUCACUGAAGAGUUCAUGGUGUCCAGAACACGGGAAGCACUGCAAUACAGAGAAUCCAGAGAUCCGAAGGUGGCAGCAGCUGGGAUCCAGGUGAAAACAGGCAGGAAAUGGAACGUAGGAAAAGCAAUAGAUGUGGCUGAGUCACGGCUGCAGCAGACGGCACUGGGGGGGUCCAUAGCAAUUGGGCGUGCAGGCAUUGGCUACUUUCCUUCAACCAAAGUUGACAAGGCCCAGGGCAAGGAGCGUCAUCAGCUGAUCCAGGAAGAAGUACGGGCAGGUGUGGAGGAAGUACGAGCUAGCAGGAUGGUGGGAAUGGGGGAGCAAGGAGCAUGGACUAGAUGGGAGAAUGUUCUGCAACGGAAAAUCACCUGGUCCAACAUCUGGAAAGCAGACUUUCAUCGAAUCAGGUUCUUUGUCCAGGCUGUGUAUGAUGUCCUUCCUAGCCCAGCAAACCUCCAUGUCUGGGGUAAAACAGAGACACCAUCCUGCCCCCGCUGCUCAGGACGGGGCUCCCUGGAACACAUGCUAAGCAGCUGCCCAAAAGCUCUUGGAGACGGGCGCUAUCGCUGGUGUCACGACCAGGUGCUUAGGGCAGUUGCAGACAGUAUCGCCACCGCCAUCAACACCAGCAGAGGCCACCACAAGCCAAAGACCAUCACAUUCCACAGAGCUGGAGAAAAGCCCAACAUACCACCACGGGCAAAGUCCGGCCUCCUCACCUCCGCCAACGACUGGCAACUGGAAGUGGACCUGGGCAGGCAACUGAAGUUCCCCUCAAGAAUUACAUCAACCAGGCUCCGCCCAGACAUGGUCAUUGUCUCAGACUCCACCAAGCAGCUGAUCAUUCUGGAGCUUACUGUGCCAUGGGAAGAACGCAUGGAUGAGGCUAAUGAGAGGAAGAGGGCCAAGUACCAGGAACUGGUGGAAGAGUGUAGGGGGCAAGGCUGGAAAACAACCUGUGAGCCUGUGGAGGUGGGCUGUCGGGGAUUUGCCGGACGGUCACUCUGCAGAGUGUUCACCCAGCUAGGACUUGUCGGGGAGGCGAAACGGAAGGCCAUCAGAUCCACAACUGAAGCCGCAGAGAAAGCCACGAGAUGGCUUUGGAUUAAGAGGGCAGAACCAUGGGCAAACGCUGCUGGGACACAGGCUGGGGAUUGAUCACCCCGGCCGGGUCGCCUGGGCUGAGGGGGUCUGAUGUUAAAAGACCCGAAACCCCCCGUGAUGCCAGGAAACAACAUCACUGAUGAUGUGUCCCAGCGCAUCCACAGGAUGUAUCUCUCACCUUUGAAGCUGGUUCAUCCAGUGACACCCAGGAAUAGACUGGGUGGCAACCAAGGACAGUUUGGUGACGAUUGGAAAGACAAUUGACAGCUCGGAAAGACGGCACCUGGGACAGGAAGGGCUAGCACCCCAACCUGUGUCUUCCGUGAGGGAGAAACCCAAAACUGCUAUGAAGAAGCCUUCUGAGAAAUACCCCCAGGGGAGCCGGUGAGGGGGGGAGAAUGAGAACCCCAAACGGACGGACUCAACGGUAUCGAACCAUGCAAACGGAAACACGACCACGAAUCCAAGAUGCAUCUGCGGAAAAGUGUGCAAGAACACGCAUGGCCUAAAAAAACAUCUGGCUAGGAUGAAAUGCAGGGAGAAAGAGAACAUACUGCAACGCACAGGAUCUGAUCCUGGUGAGACGCAGGAGGAGUCCGGCCAGGAGGAGCCCCACAGAGCUCAGUCCCUCCAAGCAGUAGAGCCUUUCAAUCCCUGCAAAAUAAUCCAACAGAAGCGGAUCAAAUGGGCUCCAGCUAAGAGCCAGUCAGCAUGGUUACAGUUUGACACUGAUGUGUGCAAGAUCCUGGAAACCACUAGCAAGGGUGGAGUAGACCAGCGUCUUGAGACCAUGACUGCCAUCAUUGUCAGCUAUGCAGCGGAGAGAUUUGGCCACAUUGAGAGGAGCAACAUCAAGCCCAGCAACACCAUGAACCGCAGAGCCACCCAGAUCCACAAACUGCGUCAGGAACUUCGAAGCCUCAAAAAACAGCAUAAGGUGGCUAGCAAAGAUGAGAAGCUACCGCUUAUCGAACUUCGCAACAUCUUGAGGAAGAAGCUCCUGACGCUGCGCAGAGCAGAGUGGCACCGAAGGCGACGAAAGGAAAGAGCAAGAAAGCGCGCCGCUUUCAUCUCCAACCCUUUCACUUUCUCUAAGAAGCUCCUGGGGGACAAGUGCAGCGGCAGCUUAGUCUGCUCAGCGGAAGAGGUAAACUCCUUCCUGCACAACACCUUGAGCGACCCAGAGAGAGAACUGGAGCUACAGCCUCAGAGAGCCCUCAUAAGCCCACAAUCACCAUCAGUGGAUUUUGCUCUGAGGGAGCCAACCUGGAAAGAGGUUCAGGAAGUGGUGAAAGGAGCCAGAACUGCCUCAGCCCCAGGCCCUAGUGGAGUCACAUACACUGUAUACAAGCACUGUAUACUGCCCGCAACUCCUUCGUCACCUGUGGAAGAUCCAGAGGAUGAUCUGGCGCAGGGGAAAAGUUGCUAACCAAUGGAGGUGUGCUGAGGGUGUGUGGAUCCCCAAGGAAGAGGACUCCAAGGACAUCAGUCAGUUCCGGACCAUCUCGCUGCUAAGCGUUGAAGGCAAGAUCUUCUUCAGUAUCGUGUCACGAUGACUAACGGAGUUCCUUCUGAAGAACAGCUACAUUGACACCUCUGUCCAGAAGGGUGGAAUCCCUGGAGUGCCUGGCUGCUUGGAACAUACUGGAGUGGUAACACCACAUGUCUUUUAGACCCUGUCCCAACCUCAUUCUUUAAGUUAUUUUAUGAUUCUUUUAGAGACAAGCUUUUAAACAGGAUUAUUAUUUGAUUUGUCGACUUAUCUAUCGACUCAUGUAUCGAUUAUUCUUACUAUUAUUUUUUAUCAACCGAUUAAUAUUACAAUGAAUUUAACCAAAAUAGCAAGUAAAAACUUGUCCUAUUCCUAUAAGUAUUUUAUUCAAUGAUUUAUUCAAGAAUCUCUUGAAAUCAAACAAAACAAAACAUUAAGGUUAUAACAUCCGGAAGAUUUUAGCAGCACGCAGUUUUUGGGUUACCUUGUAUGGUGGAUAUGAGCUAAUUAUGAGAGCAUUUGUAAUUAAAUAGCUCAUCCAAAUAAGUCUAAGUGAAGCUGCACACUUUUUUUGUUUUAACAAUAACAAAUGGUAAUAACAAAAUAAUAGCUACAAUAUACCUUGAACUUAUUUAGUCCACUAAUAUUAGUGUUAAAGUCCUCAUAUGUUUUAUAUGCUAUAUGAAGUUCCCUGAACAUCUGUGUGUGAAACACAGCACUCUUUUAUCUGAGGCUGCCCUUAAUGCAUCACUCCAAGACAGUGAAAGACUAUCAAUAUAAUAUUAUAUCAUAUUUGUUUCCCUUUCAUUAAAGUGUUCAUUUUGCAACAAACACUGCUUAAAUGUAGUUUACAGCUUAAACCGACUUGUAUCAUCCCAAAUUUUAAAGUAAAGGGAGUAGUCCAGUGUCUGUGAGGCUCAGCAGAAACACAGGAGCAUCUUCGGUUGUCUGGAAACUUUGGACAAAUAUAGUGAUCCGAUUCAUGAAUGAACGUGGGCCAUCAAACUACAAGAGAUUCCCGGGAGAAAUGACAAUACAGGAGGUGGGCGAGAGAUACUGUAGGUCUGAAAUACGGGAGAGUCCUGGGAAAAACAGGAGUGUUGGCAGGUAUGGUAUCAGUAUACAUAUAUGCAGCGGAGCUUGCGUGCGCCGAGUAUUAGCAUUAGCGAGCUAUCGCCUGCGAUCACACAGCUGAUUAAUUAGCGAGUAAUAGGACACAUAAAAGCACAAAACUGAUGCUUCAACUCCGAGCAAACUGCUUAAAGUGAAUGAAUUAGAUAUGGGAUGCAGGGCAUAUGAUGCAGCAUUCACUGUGGUGUUUGCUGCACCAGCGGUGGGUUAUUUUAUCGACAGGUCACUGCAUGUCUCCUUGAAUGAAAGCAGCACGAUCUUGGAAAUAUAAACGAGGAAGCCAAAAAGAACACAUUCAUUAAUGGAGAGGAGCUACUCAAAGAUCUUGCUAAAGUGGUUUUUAAAUCAACCCCAUUAGGUGGAGCUUAUUUGCCAUCUAUGCCUCCACCAUUACCUGAAGUAGCCAUUGUCUACAUCACAUAUGUCAGAGUCAAGGCCCGCGGGCCACAUCCGGCCCGCGAGAAGGUUUUUUACGGCCCCUGGGAUGAUCUUGAUUUAUUAUUAGAACCGGCCCACAGACCGCAGCAAGCCGGCAGCCCGCAGAUCUUUUACACGCACCAAUACUACAUUUCCCAUAAUGCAACGGUGACGCACUGAGCAGUAGGCUGCUUCAUUUCAAUAUUUAUUAGCACAGCAGUCGUCAGCAUAACAGUAAAAUUAAAACUUCUGUGUGGAGAAAGUGUGGCGGUACUGAAAGAGUAUAAUCUGAGACGACAUUAUGAAACGAAACACGCGGACAAAAACAAGAAUAUGGACAUGGAACAAAGGCUACAGAAGGCCGAGGAAUUAAAACGAGGCCUCAAAUCUCGACAGGCUCUGUUCAAAAAAGCCAAAUCACAAGGCCAGGCUGCUGUCAAGGCCAGUUUUAUUUUAAAAAAAUAGAAAUAAUAAUAAAUAAUAAAAAAUAAUAAUAAAAUAGAAAAUAUAGGCUACUGAUGGUGCCUUGAAUAAUACCGGUUUCUUUCAUUUAAUGUUCAUGUUAUGGGGAUUUUUAUAUAAAGGAAAUUUGUCUUUUGUGUCUGUUGAAAAUUAAAGAUUACUGACAGAGCCAUAAGAAAAUAUUGCUUUAUUUAUCUGAUCAUAUUGGAAUAUAUUUGUUAGGUUUUCAGUAGGUUCAAUUAGGUUCACUAGACUAUAUGCGUCAUUUAAAAAAUUUUCAAUGAACAUUCGAUCAGUCCGGCCCUCGGCUUGUAGCUAAAUUUUUUAUUUGGCCCUCCGUCCAUUUGACUUUGACACCCCUGGUCUACAUCAUCAUGCAAUACAUCGACGAAUUACGUCAACGAAUCGCCCCAGCCCUAAAAAACACCAUCUAGUUUUUCAGGUGUGGCGGCUUUAUUUGCUGUGGGGGUGUGCCAUGAUCAAUUACAUGUAGAGGAAACCCUGCAAGGUUCUGUCUGUAUACUUAUCGUUACUCAACAUGCACCCCCAUGCACGAUCAAAUGUUGACCAUAUGCAGCUGGUUUUAUUGAGUAGGGAGAAAAAUUUUAAGGAAUUUUGCCAGACAUAAAUAAGGGAGAUGGAACUGUUUUAAAGGGGGCUCUCUACUGCAUUGCUGGAGACAACCUUGGCUCUCAAAACACUGGUAGUUUUACAGAAAAUUUCAGCUCUUCUGAAUACUUAUGUAGAUAUCAUCUGAUUUCAAGAACUGAAUUUCAGAGUGCUGAUCCCAGCAUUUGUGGAUUGGAGCGGACUCCAGAAACAUACAGAGCUGCCAUUGAACAGCUGGAGACUGUUGUGAGGCAGGCUCGUAGUGAGGACCCAGAAGCAGACACUGAGACAGGGAUCAACGUAAAGCGAAUUUAAUGUCCAAAACAGAAAGGGAUAUCUAAGGAAACAAAGAAAGUCCGGGUGGUUGGCUGGUUGGCUGGCUGUCGUGUGGGCUGGAGACACUGCAGGAGAAACCAGAGGAGACAGGAGUUAGAGAACAUGAAAAAGAGUCACUAGGAGCAAAGUUCUCAAAGUUAUACCACGAGGAAGGCCAGGAGACGCGUCUGUACCGCUAGGAAGGGUAGACAAUACUCAGGCGCUGAGACUGAGGGCUGCAGGCUUCUUAAAGUCCCUUAAUUGGAGAUGAGGAGCAGGUGUGUCGUCUCACUCAGCCUCAGCGCCGGGGGAGGGGAGGAAGCUCUGGAAAAAGAGUACAGCCAGACCAGGCAAACAGGGAAAAACAGGAAGUCCAGCCAAAAUAAAACAGGAUGAGGAGGCGUCUCACCACAGAGACAGAGGAUGUUCCACAAGUGCAACGGAUAAAAUUCCGGUCAGUUUUAAAAUACGCUACAAAACUUUGAUGUUUGUUCACCUGGCAUGCCCCCCUGUCUCGUUCAUGAUAUCUUUGAGGGUGUCCUCUCUUAUGAUGUUGGCCUUUACCUCAAGUUCUUUGUCAACAAAAGGAAAUGGUUCACUUACACAACUUUAAAGAGAUGAAUCAAGCAGUUCAAAUACAAAGGAACAGAAAGGAACUUCCUCCAAACCUUGUGAGGUCAGUCCUCAAACACUGAAGCUGCAAGGACAUGCGGUCCAAAACUGGAACUUUUUUUUUUGUUUUUUUUUUGUGCAGUGUGACAAUAAAAGACAUACAACAAACAAUGGCAUUUGUGGUUUUGUGUGUGUGUGGGUGUGUGUAUUAUAUAUGUGAAUAAUAAUGAAAAAAUAAAUAAAUAAAUAAAUAUUACAAUUGUCAGACAAGCAAAAGAAAAUUAUAAUACACGAACAAUAUCAAUAAUAAUAAUAAUAAUAAUAAUAAUAAUAACAACAAUAAGAAGAAGAAGAAGAAAUUUGUGGACCACCUCGGGUCCCUUCCCACUCGCGCGAGACCUGCCUGCAGGCCCGCAGGCCCCCAGACCCCCCCCCCUUAUUGAGACUGUUGCCUCUAAUAAUUGGAGACAAAGUGCAGGACACACAAGAUGAUGUGUGGCAGUUACUUUUGCUGCUUAAGGACAUUGUUGACCUAAUUUGUGCUCCACAAAUUUCCAAGGAUCAGUUAGCUUAUCUGGAUAUUCUAAUCCAAGAAUUUUUGCAAUCCAGGAAGGAACUCUUUCCAGAUAUCCUCAGACCCAAACAUCAUUUUUACAGCAUUAUCCAGGACUCAUCCUCAAAUUUGGCCUCAUCCGGGUAUGGACUAUACGUUUUGAAAGCAAACAUAGUUACCCUCAGAAGAUGUACAAGGCAUCUGAAGAAUUUCAAAAAUCUGUGUUUGACUCUUUCAGAGAGGCAUCAGAUGUAUCAGUCCUAUCUUUCUGCAGGGUCAGUCAGUCCUCCAGCCUUGCAAAUAAAAGAUGUCACCAUUGUACUUAGAGCAGUAUAAUGGGAUAACUUGUUAGAAAGGUCAGUUUGUUGUGACUAAGAAUGACGAAUCAGUGGAGUUUGGUGAAAUCAUACUCAUUCUUGUGAAAGAUGAUCAUACUGUCACACUCUGCUGUGUUUCUCAGGCCGACUCUCACUCACCUCCCUGCCACAUCUCCUCAUCAGCGCUGAUUCCCCACACCUGUGAAUGACAAGCUGCAGCUCCUCACUGCUGAUUAUCCAGCCAGUAUUUAAGUCACUCUGUGUCCCUCAUUCAGUGCCAGAUUGUCUUCGCAGCAUGCAUGACUCCCCAGCAUUAUUUCUUGGAUUGCCUUCUUGGUUUCGACUCCUGCUUGUCUCUGACCACAUCUUAUCGUCUCAGCCCUUGGAUCCCCUGUCAAGUUUCUUCGCUCCGUUGAGAACUUCAGGUUUCGCUGUGUUGCUGGCUUCCCGACCUACUGCCUGUCCACGACUAUCCUUCUGUCUGAUCCCUCUGGAAUUAGUCUGCCCCGUUGAUUGUCUGCCUGGAUUCGACAUUGCCUCCGCUUCGACCACGAGCCCAGCCUGCCCCUCGGCAGUGCUGCUGCACUUCGCAAAGACUCUCAGGUGUAGUGUGUUUCCCAUGUGCACUCACCUUUCUGCCUGUUGGACCUGUUUCCUGUGGAUCUGUUUCCUGUUGGUCUUGGAAAUUCUACAGAGACUGCUAAAUUGAUCCCAGUAUUUUCAGUUCCCUUCUGAAAUACCUGUCUGCUGUGAACUGUUGCAAUAAAAGUAGCUUCGAAACAACUACCUGCUGUUGUGCUGCACUUGGGUCCUACAUCCACACCCCCCUGACACAUACACUACAUUUUCUGAUAAAAGUGUAUGAUGGUGAAUUUCUUUCACAUUACCACAUGUACACUCUAAAACAUGACGCUGAGCUUCUGCCAUGAUAUAUUUUAAAUAUACCAUGGCAGAAGCUCUCUGAAGAGUUGACACAAAGUCUGGAAAGACAGAAAAGACCAAGUCCGUGACUACGGCGUGAAAUGAUAAGGAUUGUAGUCUCAGAGAUAAUUAAGAUUUGUAAGAAUCCAAGCAAACACAACACCACAGAACACAUCUCAACCUUUUGCGAGCUGGGCCCCCCCUAAAGGUGGUUCAAUGCAGUUGGUGUGAAAAGUUUUUAGCACUGUUUCUGACAAAAAAUUUCCCCCAUGAGGGAUCAAUAUAGGAAUAUUCUAUUCUAUAUUCUAUUCUAUUCUGGUCAGACGACUCAGUCGUUUAUUUCCCAGUCCUCUUCUACCAAGACACAGAACGCAUCUCGGUUGCAACAUGCUGAGUCAGUCAUGGCCUGUCUGGACCUGUGGACUGGACUCCGUACCAGGUCCGGAGAUCCUUCUGCUGCCGGCCUCUAUCAGGACACCUGAAGUUAAAGCAGCGGUUCUCAAAUCCAGUCCUCGAGCCCCCCCA
Molecule: non-coding RNA, 10114 nt
Organism: Xyrichtys novacula (pearly razorfish)
Lineage: Eukaryota; Metazoa; Chordata; Actinopteri; Labriformes; Labridae
Source: the annotation of a GenBank genome assembly